AGAGUUUGAUCCUGGCUCAGACGAACGCUGGCGGCGUGGAUAAGACAUGCAAGUCGAGCGCUGGUUGGAGGGUAGCAAUAUUCUUCAGCCGGAGCGGCGCAAGGGUGCGUAACACGUGGGUAAUUUGCCAUUAAGUUGGGGAUAACUUGCUGAAAGGCGAGCUAAUACCGAAUGUGGCCCGAUGGAGGCAUCUCCGUCUGGCCAAAGCUGGGGACCGCAAGGCCUGGCGCUUGAUGAUAAACCCGCGGCCUAUCAGCUAGUUGGUGAGGUAACGGCCCACCAAGGCGAUGACGGGUAGCUGGUCUGAGAGGACGACCAGCCACACUGGAACUGAGACACGGUCCAGACACCUACGGGUGGCGGCAGUCGAGAAUUUUUCACAAUGGGGGAAACCCUGAUGGAGCGACGCCGCGUGGGGGAUGAAUGGCUUCGGCCCGUAAACCCCUGUCAUUUGUGAACAAACCUUUUCGUUGAACAGGCGAAAAGCUGAUAGUAGCGGAAGAGGAAGGGACGGCUAACUCUGUGCCAGCAGCCGCGGUAAUACAGAGGUCCCGAGCGUUGUUCGGAUUCACUGGGCGUAAAGGGUGCGUAGGUGGCCGGGUAAGUCUGAUGUGAAAUCUCGGAGCUCAACUCCGAAACGGCAUUGGAUACUAUCCGGCUGGAGGGUCGGAAGGGGGACUGGAAUUCUCGGUGUAGCAGUGAAAUGCGUAGAUAUCGAGAGGAACACCAGUGGCGAAGGCGAGUCCCUGGACG
Molecule: ribosomal RNA, 753 nt
Filed under: uncultured bacterium
Lineage: Bacteria
Description: bacterial SSU rRNA
Rfam family: Bacterial small subunit ribosomal RNA
Source: RNAcentral